UGUUUCGGCUAGGGGGCCAUCCCGGCUUACCAACCCGAUGCAAACUGCGAAUACCGGAGAAUGUUAUCACGGGAGACACACGGCGGGUGCUAACGUCCGUCGUGAAGAGGGAAACAACCCAGACCGCCAGCUAAGGUCCCAAAGUCAUGGUUAAGUGGGAAACGAUGUGGGAAGGCCCAGACAGCCAGGAUGUUGGCUUAGAAGCAGCCAUCAUUUAAAGAAAGCGUAAUAGCUCACUGGUCGAGUCGGCCUGCGCGGAAGAUGUAACGGGGCUAAACCAUGCACCGAAGCUGCGGCAGCGACACUGUGUGUUGUUGGGUAGGGGAGCGUUCUGUAAGCCUGUGAAGGUGUGCUGUGAGGCAUGCUGGAGGUAUCAGAAGUGCGAAUGCUGACAUAAGUAACGAUAAAGCGGGUGAAAAGCCCGCUCGCCGGAAGACCAAGGGUUCCUGUCCAACGUUAAUCGGGGCAGGGUGAGUCGACCCCUAAGGCGAGGCCGAAAGGCGUAGUCGAUGGGAAACGGGUUAAUAUUCCCGUACUUGGUGUUACUGCGAAGGGGGGACGGAGAAGGCUAUGUUGGCCGGGCGACGGUUGUCCCGGUUUAAGCGUGUAGGUGUGUGUUCCAGGUAAAUCCGGUUCACUUUAACACUGAGGCGUGAUGACGAGGCACUACGGUGCUGAAGCAACAAAUGCCCUGCUUCCAGGAAAAGCCUCUAAGCAUCAGGUAACAUCAAAUCGUACCCCAAACCGACACAGGUGGUCAGGUAGAGAAUACCAAGGCGCUUGAGAGAACUCGGGUGAAGGAACUAGGCAAAAUGGUGCCGUAACUUCGGGAGAAGGCACGCUGACACGUAGGUGAAGUGAUUUACUCACGGAGCUGAAGUCAGUCGAAGAUACCAGCUGGCUGCAACUGUUUAUUAAAAACACAGCACUGUGCAAACACGAAAGUGGACGUAUACGGUGUGACGCCUGCCCGGUGCCGGAAGGUUAAUUGAUGGGGUCAGCGCAAGCGAAGCUCCUGAUCGAAGCCCCGGUAAACGGCGGCCGUAACUAUAACGGUCCUAAGGUAGCGAAAUUCCUUGUCGGGUAAGUUCCGACCUGCACGAAUGGCGUAAUGAUGGCCAGGCUGUCUCCACCCGAGACUCAGUGAAAUUGAACUCGCUGUGAAGAUGCAGUGUACCCGCGGCAAGACGGAAAGACCCCGUGAACCUUUACUAUAGCUUGACACUGAACAUUGAGCCUUGAUGUGUAGGAUAGGUGGGAGGCUUUGAAGCGUGGACGCCAGUCUGCGUGGAGCCGACCUUGAAAUACCACCCUUUAAUGUUUGAUGUUCUAACGUGGAUCCGUGAUCCGGGUUGCGGACAGUGUCUGGUGGGUAGUUUGACUGGGGCGGUCUCCUCCUAAAGAGUAACGGAGGAGCACGAAGGUUGGCUAAUCCUGGUCGGACAUCAGGAGGUUAGUGCAAUGGCAUAAGCCAGCUUGACUGCGAGCGUGACGGCGCGAGCAGGUGCGAAAGCAGGUCAUAGUGAUCCGGUGGUUCUGAAUGGAAGGGCCAUCGCUCAACGGAUAAAAGGUACUCCGGGGAUAACAGGCUGAUACCGCCCAAGAGUUCAUAUCGACGGCGGUGUUUGGCACCUCGAUGUCGGCUCAUCACAUCCUGGGGCUGAAGUAGGUCCCAAGGGUAUGGCUGUUCGCCAUUUAAAGUGGUACGCGAGCUGGGUUUAGAACGUCGUGAGACAGUUCGGUCCCUAUCUGCCGUGGGCGCUGGAGAACUGAGGGGGGCUGCUCCUAGUACGAGAGGACCGGAGUGGACGCAUCACUGGUGUUCGGGUUGUCAUGCCAAUGGCACUGCCCGGUAGCUAAAUGCGGAAGAGAUAAGUGCUGAAAGCAUCUAAGCACGAAACUUGCCCCGAGAUGAGUUCUCCCUGAGACUACGAGUCUCCUGAAGGAACGUUGAAGACGACGACGUUGAUAGGCCGGGUGUGUAAGCGCAGCGAUGCGUUGAGCUAACCGGUACUAAUGAACCGUGAGGCUUAACCUU
This 2038-nucleotide ribosomal RNA is filed under the name Salmonella enterica. RNAcentral's name for it is "partial 23S ribosomal RNA". It matches the Rfam family "Bacterial large subunit ribosomal RNA", at positions 911 to 2925 of the family's 2925-position model. Lineage: Bacteria; Pseudomonadati; Pseudomonadota; Gammaproteobacteria; Enterobacterales; Enterobacteriaceae. The record is from RNAcentral.